RNAcentral lists this signal recognition particle RNA (299 nucleotides) under Aotus nancymaae (Ma's night monkey). RNAcentral describes it as "Metazoan signal recognition particle RNA (ENSANAG00000000839.1)". It matches the Rfam family "Metazoan signal recognition particle RNA". From Rfam's summary of the family: The signal recognition particle (SRP) is a universally conserved ribonucleoprotein. It is involved in the co-translational targeting of proteins to membranes. Lineage: Eukaryota; Metazoa; Chordata; Mammalia; Primates; Aotidae. The record is from RNAcentral.
GCCAGGUGUGGUGGCGCAUGCCUAUAGUCCCAGCUACUCAGGUGGCUGAGGUGGGAGGAUUGCUUGAGCCCAGGAGUUCUGAGCUGUAGUGCGCUAUAUGGAUCAGUUGUCCACACUAAGUUCGGCAUCAAUAUGGUGACCUCCCGGGAACAGGGGACCACCAGGUUGCCUAAGGAGGAGUGAACCAGACCAGGUCGGAAACAGAGCAGGUCAAAACGCCUGUGCUGAUCAGUAGUGGGAUGGCGCCUGUGAAUAGCCACUGCACUCCAGCCUGGCCAACAUAGUGAGACCCCGUCUCU